Xenopus tropicalis (tropical clawed frog) is the source of this 1141-nucleotide RNA transcript. RefSeq lists it as uncharacterized. The transcript has 3 exons. The record is from RefSeq and is a predicted model, not a curated record. NCBI's taxonomy places the organism in Eukaryota, Metazoa, Chordata, Amphibia, Anura, Pipidae.
GAGUGCUGACAGCCACUGUUUGUGCGAGUGCCUAUACUAUAAUAAACACCGUGAUAUCGUACAGGACUCCCCCGGAGAAGGACGGCAGAGUCAAGUGCCUUUUGCGCUUGAUAAUAUCAGUGACCACCGUAUUCUUCUUAGUGAUAGGUGCAGCGUUUGCUUUCAUGUUCAUCUGGAUGGCACCAGUAAACACACAGCUGUAUGAGGUAUGGGGAUUUGCUCAUUCUAUGUAUUGUACUAUUGCUUUAGGGCCACACAGGGGACUUGCAAUAUACCAGUUGUACCAAUCUUUAGUGCUCACUCUUGGCUUUAGCUUUGUGCCAGUAAAUGUUAUUUGAAUCAUAGCCAUGGCACAGUGUAGCAGUUUAUUCUGUAAAUGGAAUGCAUGUGUAUUUCAGUCCUGUCACUGUGCAACCAUCAAUCAUUUUCUUGUGGAAAUCAACUCAUAAUUUGUUUUUCAGAUCAUGAACAUCUUACGAGUUACCAGCGAAUGGCUCUCAACUGUCACAUUUUAUGGGUAUUUGGCCACAUUUGCUACAGACUUCAAGAUCUACGGUUUCACAAUACCCAAGAACAUGAAGGACGAUUGGUUCUAUGUCAGAACCAAGUUACCUGGUGAUGUAGAGGCCAAUGAAGAGAGUGAAAUAUAAGGGAGAAGGUUUGGAUGUGGCAUCUGUGACCUGAAGCAGUCCUCAGCCAGUGGGAAUUUCCAAUCUGCCCACUGAGAUAUCUGUCAGGGAAGUGCUUUUUACUCAGAGAUGCAAAUCACAGAUAAUACUAACCAGGGUUUGGUCGGCUUAAGACUUGACUGAAGUACAAUUUGCUGGAUGUGAGUGCUCUAAGGCACAUAAAGCCUCAUUAACAUGUGUGAAGAUGGAUUUCAAUUCUCACUCCAACAAGUCGUUAGGCCCGAGCCAUCCGUUAGGCUCUUGCCGCUGUAUGAAGAAGAUAAGUCCAAGGAGGGAUCCAAUACAAAAUAUCUGUUGCACCGUAAGCACCCGCUCGGCUCCCACCAAUGAUCUGUUUGGGAUAUCGUGGGACUACUCCUUCCUGUGGAUCCUAUUGUAAUUCAAAGCUAUUGUAAUAACCUAUGGGUUUUGUCAAUGACCUUAAAUAAAAUAAAUGAUUUAAUUCACGUUAA